CACUUCUCAGACAGGGCGGCUGCCGGGCGGAGGGGCUCCUCACUUCUCAGAUGGAGCGGUUGCCAGGCAGAGGGUCUCCUCACUUCUCAGACGGGGCGGCCGGGCAGAGACGCUCCUCACAUCCCGGAUGGGGCGGCCGGGCAGAGCUGGCCACUGCCCCAACCCAGGCAUUUCACUGGGCGCAGUGCGGACAGGCUUCCGCUUUGGUCAUGGGGACAAGGUCCGCUAUCGCUGCUCCUCGAAUCUUGUGCUCACGGGGUCUUCGGAGCGGGAGUGCCAGGGCAACGGGGUCUGGAGUGGAACGGAGCCCAUCUGCCGCCAACCCUACUCUUAUGACUUCCCUGAGGACGUGGCCCCUGCCCUGGGCACUUCCUUCUCCCACAUGCUUGGGGCCACCAAUCCCACCCAGAAGACAAAGGAAAGCCUGGGCCGUAAAAUCCAAAUCCAGCGCUCUGGUCAUCUGAACCUCUACCUGCUCCUGGACUGUUCGCAGAGUGUGUCGGAAAAUGACUUUCUCAUCUUCAAGGAGAGCGCCU
RNAcentral lists this unclassified non-coding RNA (536 nucleotides) under Homo sapiens (human). RNAcentral describes it as "complement C2 (multiple genes)". Lineage: Eukaryota; Metazoa; Chordata; Mammalia; Primates; Hominidae. The record is from RNAcentral.